This is a non-coding RNA of Peromyscus maniculatus bairdii (prairie deer mouse), 1002 nucleotides long. The record is from RefSeq and is a predicted model, not a curated record. Lineage: Eukaryota; Metazoa; Chordata; Mammalia; Rodentia; Cricetidae.
CGGCCGCCCCGCCCCGCCCCCGUGACGCGGCCACGCCCCCGCAGUGCGGGCCACGCCCCUCCGAGCGGCACCUGCGGAGAAGGCAGGGCGGCGCCCCGGGGCCGGGUGGAGUCGGGUCCCUUGCACUAACUAGCUAGCUGGUCCCUUCUUUCUAAGGCGCUGAGCAGUGGGUAUGCUAACUGUUUCUCCUCCGCAGAUGAAGGAGCUCAAGUUUCAAAAAGUUAGUACCUGCUCAUAUCUGACAGAGAGUUUCUCAGAAGCUCUAACCAGGCGUCCCAAACUAUCAGCAUCCACGUCAACUGCGUCCCCAUCAAAACAGAACUAAAGGGAACCGAACAGUUUUAUGGUUGGUAGCAGGGCCGAGCAGAAGUGAAAGUGACUUCAGAGGCUAGGUCAUAAAAGGCACUGCAUGGCUUUGCUAAGAUUUUCAUUCACCCCAAGUCAGGGGAUGUCACCUGCUAUGCCCUGGUACUAGAGGAACUACGGAGAGGUCCUGGUGAGGAGCUGAAACCUCCGAUAAAGCUUUGUGGGUCAUCUUGGAAGUAGAUCGCUAGGCCUGGUCAAGCCUUGAGCCGACUGUAGACAACCUGACUACAACUUUAUGAGACCUUCAGCUAGGACCACCCAGCUUAACCACAGUACCGGGCCAGGGAGGUAGUUCUUUUGGAGUGCCUGUCCUGUAAGCACAGGGCCGGAUUCCACCCCCAACAAUGAAUAAACCCAGCAUGAAGUGCAUGCCUGAACCCUGGUACUCAGGAGGUGGGAGCAGCAGCAUGAGAGACUCAAGGACAAAUCUGAGACCAGCCUGGAAUCCAUGAAACCCUGUCUUAAAAAACGGGUGAGGGGUCGAUGUUUCAGGCCACCAAAUUUUGGGGCUAUUUGUUACAUGGCUGCAAAUAACUAAUGGAUAAGGAAAAGAAGAAAGGACAAGGUACAAGUGAAUGUGUACGUUACUGUAGCUUUUCUGUAAAUUUCAAAAUAAAAAGUUAAGAAUAAACUUGA